UGAUGGAAUAUGGGUAUAUGUGUCCCUUUGAUCUGAGGUUGCCUCGGUGGCUUGCAAGCAACUCACUAUGCUUUAGCAUCGGACUAUCUGAAUUUCUAAUUCGAUGAUGGAAGAUUUCUGGAUACGGUCAAGUGCUCAUGAAGUUUGAGUGUGAGUCAAGAUGGGAUUGAUCGCUCCAAGUAAAAUUGAAGAUGAUCCAUCACUAUGUUUCAAUUCAGUAAAAUUGAAGAUGAUGCAUCAAGUGCGAGUCAAGAUGGUAGUCUUAGUGAGGAGUCACAAGAUUUUUAGGUUGAGACACAAUAUGGACCACUCUUCCUAGAUUAACAGUUUAACCCUAAGUCAUCCUUGAGCACCGAGAGUCAAAGGGAUGAAUUAUAUGGUAACUAUAUCCACAUGGGUUCUAGAGUGCUACUGAGCAUACAUUGGGCCUAUCUGGACAUCAAAAAUCAUUGUUAGAUGGUAACAUCGAUUGGUACAAGAAUUAUUCUUGUACUACCAGCUUAGGUAUAAACCUAUGAGGUCAUACACAUAGAAGCACCUAUCUGAUCAAAUGGCUGAUCUACGAUUAUGAAUUAUUGAAGGAUUUAAUUAUCAAUGUGAUUGAUAAUUAAUUUGAUGCAAGGAUUGCAAUAAAUUAUUUACUAAUGGU
Molecule: long non-coding RNA, 649 nt
Filed under: Elaeis guineensis (African oil palm)
Lineage: Eukaryota; Viridiplantae; Streptophyta; Magnoliopsida; Arecales; Arecaceae
Description: long non-coding RNA (EGUI_LNC047612)
Source: RNAcentral